This 1179-nucleotide ribosomal RNA is filed under the name Morganella morganii. RNAcentral's name for it is "bacterial LSU rRNA". It matches the Rfam family "Bacterial large subunit ribosomal RNA", at positions 590 to 1766 of the family's 2925-position model. Lineage: Bacteria; Pseudomonadati; Pseudomonadota; Gammaproteobacteria; Enterobacterales; Morganellaceae. The record is from RNAcentral.
GGUGUGACUGCGUACCUUUUGUAUAAUGGGUCAGCGACUUAUAUUCUGUAGCAAGGUUAACCGAAUAGGGGAGCCGCAGGGAAACCGAGUCUUAACUGGGCGUCUUAGUUGCAGGGUAUAGACCCGAAACCCGGUGAUCUAGCCAUGGGCAGGUUGAAGGUUGGGUAACACUAACUGGAGGACCGAACCGACUAAUGUUGAAAAAUUAGCGGAUGACUUGUGGCUGGGGGUGAAAGGCCAAUCAAACCGGGAGAUAGCUGGUUCUCCCCGAAAGCUAUUUAGGUAGCGCCUCGUGAACUCAUCUCCGGGGGUAGAGCACUGUUUCGGCUAGGGGGUCAUCCCGACUUACCAACCCGAUGCAAACUGCGAAUACCGGAGAAUGUUAUCACGGGAGACACACGGCGGGUGCUAACGUUCGUCGUGAAGAGGGAAACAACCCAGACCGCCGGCUAAGGUCCCAAAGUCAUAAUUAAGUGGGAAACGAAGUGGGAAGGCUCAGACAGCCAGGAUGUUGGCUUAGAAGCAGCCAUCAUUUAAAGAAAGCGUAAUAGCUCACUGGUCGAGUCGGCCUGCGCGGAAGAUGUAACGGGGCUAAAUUAUGCACCGAAGCCGCGGCAGCGAUAUGUAAAUAUUGUUGGGUAGGGGAGCGUUCUGUAAGCCUGUGAAGGUGUGCUGUGAGGCAUGCUGGAGGUAUCAGAAGUGCGAAUGCUGACAUAAGUAACGAUAAUGCGGGUGAAAAACCCGCACGCCGGAAGACCAAGGGUUCCUGUCCAACGUUAAUCGGGGCAGGGUGAGUCGACCCCUAAGGCGAGGCUGAAAAGCGUAGUCGAUGGGCAACGGGUUAAUAUUCCCGUACUGGUGGUAACUGCGAAGGGGGGACGGAGAAAGCUAAAUCAUCCGGGCGACGGUUGUCCCGGUUUAAGCGUGCAGGUGGACUGACCAGGCAAAUCCGGUCGGUUGUUAACACUGAGGCGUGACGACGAGCCACUACGGUGGUGAAGUGAUUGAUGCUCUGCUUCCGGGAAAAGCCUCUAAGCUCCAGGUUACCAUUAAUCGUACCCCAAACCGACACAGGUGGUCAGGUAGAGAAUACUCAGGCGCUUGAGAGAACUCGGGUGAAGGAACUAGGCAAAAUGGUGCCGUAACUUCGGGAGAAGGCACGCUGGCACUAGGUGAAGU